GUAGGUGGCAAGCGUUGUCCGGAAUUAUUGGGCGUAAAGCGCGCGCAGGCGGUUCUUUAAGUCUGAUGUGAAGGCCCACGGCUCAACCGUGGAGGGUCAUUGGAAACUGGAGAACUUGAGUACAGAAGAGGAAAGCGGAAUUCCACGUGUAGCGGUGAAAUGCGUAGAGAUGUGGAGGAACACCAGUGGCGAAGGCGGCUUUCUGGUCUGUAACUGACGCUGAGGCGCGAAAGCGUGGGGAGCAAACAGGGAUUAGAUACACUGGUAGUCCACGCCGUAAACGAUGAGUGCUAAGUGUUAGGGGGGUUUCCGCCCCCCUUAGUGCUGCAGCUAACGCAUUAAGCACUCCGCCUGGGAGUACGGCCGCAAGGCUG
RNAcentral lists this ribosomal RNA (374 nucleotides) under uncultured organism. RNAcentral describes it as "partial 16S ribosomal RNA". It matches the Rfam family "Bacterial small subunit ribosomal RNA", at positions 527 to 896 of the family's 1533-position model. The record is from RNAcentral.